CCUACGGGUGGCAGCAGUGAGGAAUCUUGGUCAAUGGACGAGAGUCUGAACCAGCCAAGUAGCGUGAAGGAUGACCGCCCUAUGGGUUGUAAACUUCUUUUAUAUGGGAAUAAAAUGUUCCACGUGUGGGAUUUUGUAUGUACCAUAUGAAUAAGGAUCGGCUAACUCCGUGCCAGCAGCCGCGGUAAUACGGAGGAUCCGAGCGUUAUCCGGAUUUAUUGGGUGUAAAGGGAGCGUAGGUGGAUUGGUAAGUCAGUUGUGAAAGUUCGCGGCUCAACCGUAAAAUUGCAGUUGAAACUGGGAGACUUGAGUACAGUAGAGGUGAGCGGAAUUCGUGGUGUAGCAGUGAAAUGUUUAGAUAUCGCGAAGAACUCCGAUUGCGAAGGCAGCUUACUAGACUGCCACUGACAUUGAUGCUCGAAAGUGUGGGUAUCAAACAGGAUUAGAUACCCCAGUAGUC
RNAcentral lists this ribosomal RNA (460 nucleotides) under uncultured bacterium. Its description in RNAcentral is "partial 16S ribosomal RNA". It matches the Rfam family "Bacterial small subunit ribosomal RNA", at positions 338 to 795 of the family's 1533-position model. The record is from RNAcentral.